This 367-nucleotide ribosomal RNA is filed under the name uncultured organism. RNAcentral describes it as "bacterial LSU rRNA". It matches the Rfam family "Bacterial large subunit ribosomal RNA", at positions 2099 to 2465 of the family's 2925-position model. The record is from RNAcentral.
CUUUACUGCAACUUUGCACUGGCGUUAGAAGGGGACUGUGUAGGAUAGGCGGGAGCCGUUGAAGCAGGGGCGCCAGCUCUUGUGGAGGCAACCUUGAAAUACCGCCCUGGCUUCUUUUGACGUCUAACCUCGACCAGUCAUCCUGGUCAGGGACCGUGCAUGGUGGGCAGUUUGACUGGGGCGGUCGCCUCCCAAAAGGUAACGGAGGCGCGCGAUGGUGGGCUCAAGCCGGUCGGACAUCGGCUGUUGAGUGCAAAGGCAUAAGCCCGCCUGACUGCGAGAGCGACAGCUCGAGCAGAGACGAAAGUCGGCCUUAGUGAUCCGGUGGUUCCACGUGGAAGGGCCAUCGCUCAACGGAUAAAAGGUA